GAUGAACGCUGGCGGCGUGCCUAAUACAUGCAAGUCGAGCGAACAGACGAGGAUCUUGUUCCUCUGACGUUAGCGGCGGACGGGUGAGUAACACGUGUAUAACCUACCUAUCUGACUGGGAUCACUUCGGGAAACCGGAGCUAAUACCGGAUGAUAUAUUGAACCGCAUGGUUGGAUAGUGAAAGACGGUUUUGCUGUAACUUAUAGAUGGAUCCGCGCCGCAUUAGCUAGUUGGUAAGGUAACGGCUUACUAAGGCAACGAUGCGUAGCCGACCUGAGAGGGUGAUCGCCCACACUGGAACGGAGACACGCUCCAGACUCCUGCGGGAGGCAGCAGAAUGGAAUCGGACGCAAUGGGCGAGAGCCUGACGGAGCAACGCCGCGUGAGUGAUGAAGACGUCCGGAGCGUAAAACUCUGUUAUUAGGGAAGAACAAAUGUGUAAGUAACUGUGCACGUCUUGACGGUACCUAGUCAAGAAGCCCCGGCUAACUACGUG
RNAcentral lists this ribosomal RNA (497 nucleotides) under uncultured bacterium. RNAcentral's name for it is "partial 16S ribosomal RNA". It matches the Rfam family "Bacterial small subunit ribosomal RNA", at positions 28 to 507 of the family's 1533-position model. The record is from RNAcentral.